CCAGCUUGCUCAUCAAGUCCAAGAACCAACCUACCUUUUGCAAUCUCAAUUCAAUGGCGUCCUCUCUCAUUGCGAAGCGCUUCCUCUCCUCUUCCCUCCUCUCCAGGUCCCUCCUUCGCCCCGCCGCUUCCGCUUCCCACCGCUCUUUCAACACCAACGCCAUGCGCCAGUAUGACAACCGCGCCGACGACCACAGCACCGACAUCGAUCGUCACUCCGAACGCUCUUUCCCUAGCACUGCGCGCCGCGACGAUAUCUUCUCAGGUAGUUGUAGUCGCUCUCUCCCUAACCUCGCACUAACCGAUUCUCUUAAUUCUUCUAUUUUUUAUGUAGUUUAGUUGAUUCAAUCGUGGUUUUAAAUUGCGUUGCCGCAAUUGUCCAAAUCUAUAAAAAAUUUAUGGCUCACCGAAAGUGCAAUCGCAAUUUAACACCACGGAUUCAAUAAAUAUCAUUACUUAAACGUUUUGUUUUAUUCGAUUCUAGCUAACCUUGCACUAAACGGAUCUCUUCAAUUAUUUCUUUCCGCGGUUUUGGUGAUUCU
This 541-nucleotide long non-coding RNA is filed under the name Glycine max (soybean). Its description in RNAcentral is "long non-coding RNA (GMAX_LNC002563)". The record is from RNAcentral. Lineage: Eukaryota; Viridiplantae; Streptophyta; Magnoliopsida; Fabales; Fabaceae.